UGCAGUCGAACGGCAGCACGGGAGCUUGCUCCUGGUGGCGAGUGGCGAACGGGUGAGUAAUAUAUCGGAACGUGCCCUAGAGUGGGGGAUAACUAGUCGAAAGAUUAGCUAAUACCGCAUACGAUCUACGGAUGAAAGUGGGGGAUCGCAAGACCUCAUGCUCGUGGAGCGGCCGAUAUCUGAUUAGCUAGUUGGUGAGGUAAAGGCUCACCAAGGCAUCGAUCAGUAGCUGGUCUGAGAGGACGACCAGCCACACUGGGACUGAGACACGGCCCAGACUCCUACGGGAGGCAGCAGUGGGGAAUUUUGGACAAUGGGGGCAACCCUGAUCCAGCAAUGCCGCGUGAGUGAAGAAGGCCUUCGGGUUGUAAAGCUCUUUUGUCAGGGAAGAAACGGUGAGGGCUAAUAUCCUUUGCUAAUGACGGUACCUGAAGAAUAAGCACCGGCUAACUACGUGCCAGCAGCCGCGGUAAUACGUAGGGUGCAAGCGUUAAUCGGAAUUACUGGGCGUAAAGCGUGCGCAGGCGGUUAUGCAAGACAGAUGUGAAAUCCCCGGGCUCAACCUGGGAAUUGCAUUUGUGACUGUAUGGCUAGAGUGUGUCAGAGGGGGGUAGAAUUCCACGUGUAGCAGUGAAAUGCGUAGAUAUGUGGAGGAAUACCGAUGGCGAAGG
This 671-nucleotide ribosomal RNA is filed under the name uncultured Herbaspirillum sp. RNAcentral describes it as "bacterial SSU rRNA". It matches the Rfam family "Bacterial small subunit ribosomal RNA", at positions 56 to 721 of the family's 1533-position model. The record is from RNAcentral. Lineage: Bacteria; Pseudomonadati; Pseudomonadota; Betaproteobacteria; Burkholderiales; Oxalobacteraceae.